Molecule: unclassified non-coding RNA, 201 nt
Filed under: plant metagenome
Description: partial contains small subunit ribosomal RNA, internal transcribed spacer 1, and 5.8S ribosomal RNA
Source: RNAcentral
UCUCCGUUGGUGAACCAGCGGAGGGAUCAUUAUCGAGUUUAUAACUCCCAAACCCUAUGUGAACUUACCACUUGUUGCUUCGGCGCGCGCUUCGGCGCCGCCGAGGACACUUAAACUCUUUGUUUUUAUAAGCGUUUCUGAGUGGCCGAAAGGCAAAAUACAAAUGAAUCAAAACUUUCAACAACGGAUCUCUUGGUUCUG